Molecule: long non-coding RNA, 2615 nt
Filed under: Sus scrofa (pig)
Lineage: Eukaryota; Metazoa; Chordata; Mammalia; Artiodactyla; Suidae
Description: lncRNA (ENSSSCG00035079883.1)
Source: RNAcentral
GCUUCAUGUUUGGAGAGGGGCAAGGUGGGCUUCUGAAAUGGCUAAUGCACUGUUCCCCCAGCCCGAAUGUCUCCUCUUUAGAACUCUUUCUCUGCCCCCAGUUCCCACAUCUCUCUGUCCCGUGUCGUCCUCUGGGUCCAACAGGGACCAUCUCUCAGUUUCUCGGCUCUCGCUUUGGUGUUGGCGGUGACGUGGGGGAUGGCGGGGCUUGUGCUGAGCCUGGGAGCCAGGACAGGGGCCUGGGUACCUAAGGAGCGAGGGAAGAGGGGGUGACAGGUGUAAAGGCUGCCUCUCCGUCCUUGGCGGGUUUUGAGAAUAGGGGCUCCCGCCUUCCUGCCCUCUCAUCCAGUGUGGACAGUAUCCCUCUGCCCUUCCUUCUUUUAGCUCAAAAGCUGGGAAGGAGCAGGGAGAGAAGGGACUUGGAGAAUCCUGUUCGUGUAGCUUCUCGGGCCGUGGCCCAUGUGUGUUCACAGGAAGCUUCUAGCCCUGCCUGCCGCUGAGACGGGGCGGCCUCAGAACUGUCGGCAGGAAAGCCAGAUGACUUUGGACCAGGAACUAGGUGCCCAAGGCUGGCCCUUUGCUCUGUGCCUGUGGGCACGCCCCUGCCCUCUCUGGGCCCCAGCUGCCCCAGCCGCAGAGCCAAGAAGCCUGGACUGGCGGAUCUGAAGGCUCUCCUCUGGUUGAUGCUAAUUCUAAGCUUGGGUUUCCUGCAGUUGGUGAUUCUGCGGUCUGUGGCUGAGUUUCCUGAGCCCAGCAGAUGUGGGCACUGUCUGGGUCGCUGUUUUGUCCCUUGGCAUGAAUCUCCAGGGACAUGGCAGCCGCUGGUCGCGGUGUGUGGGUUCAGAUGACACAUCUGGUCCCUCCCCGCGGUGCUUCUUGGUUCCUCCUGCCCUCGGGAGCUAUUUUGCAGCCCCAAGCUCGACCUCACCCAGGGAAGGCUUCCAGCGGGAGAAGCAGUCUCCCAGAAUGUGCAGGGCAGGGCCGGAGUCUAGAAUCCCUGCUUCUCCUUUGCAAAGUCAGCAUCCAUCUUUUUCUGCUCAUCGCGGCCCCAGGAGAGGAGAAGCUGGCCCUCGCCCCGACUUGGAAUUUUCUUUGCCCCCCUCCCCCCCGCCCGCCCCCUACCCCUAAUCCUGCAGAGACAGGUACAGUAGUUCCAUUUUCACAGGUGACUUUGAAGCCUGGGUUCUUUGAGGCCCCUGCAGUCACCGACCUGCUCCGGCCGCUGGCCCAGGAGGCCCAGGACUCACCACCAAAUCCCGCAGUUCCUCAGUCUGGCUCUGACCUGGGGCCCUAGGGCAGGAGGUGAGCUUGGUGGCUUGGGGCCGGCGGGGAGAGGGGAGCGGGGCCUUCCUCCAGGUCAGCUGACUUCUCUGGCCUCCGCCUGAGCCUCGAUUUGCCUCUCCGGCCCAGUGGGCAGGGGCUGUCGUGCAGCCUGCCCUGGAGGCAUCGCGCUAAAGGGCUUGCGGCCGAGAAUGAGCCAGGGUUAAGCAUGCGGGGCCCGCCAGCUGAGGCGUCUGUCCCCAGGCAUCCAGGGAGAUCUGCGUGCAAGGCUUCCCUCCCACCUCCUCGCCUUUUGGCCUUUUGUUUUGGAGCCACGGGUGUGGCUUUUGGCCUUAGCUGGCAGUACCAUGGAUGCACGCCCCAGGCACACCGAGUCCACCCCCGGAGACGGUCCAGAGCUGCCAGUCGGAGGCCGCUCUUCUUCCUGGCAGGGUGCUGGACACUGGCCAUUUUUGCCCAAGGUUGCUGGCAGGGGGCAGUUCUGUCCCCUCCUCUGACCGGAUCUCUAGCUGCAGCACCCUGGGAGCCCUGAGCAGCCUGUGGGCCUCGCUCCUCAGCCCCAUGUUGCACCUGAGGCCCACCCCCAUCAGCUGCUGCUCUCUGGGGCUGCCUGAUCAUCCGGGAGCCAGGCUCUCCGUCCCUCUGCUGACCCUUGCUCUCCAGCCCAGGAGCAGGGACCAGCCUUGGGCAGCCCAUCUGCAGUGGCCCUGGUCUCUUCCUCACCGUGUCCGCUGCCCACUCCGUGUUGAUGGUACUUAGAGAACGCCGCGAGUUUGUAGUAUUUCACCAGGCAAUGUUUAGAGUCAUGUUGAAAGGCAAACCUGUGUGUCCUCUUCCCCUGAAACGCUUUUCAUUUUGACAGCCAACUGCCUAGAUGACAGAUGCACCUGGGCUUUCGGGGACAUUGUGUCUUCUCUAGGGGGUUGGGGGAUGGGAAGAGGCAGAAAAAGCCCCACUGCUCACCUAGAGGAAAGCCACCUGAUUCCCAGCGGUUUCAGUGUCUAAGGGAUGGAAGGGAAGGCGGGCACGCCCCCUGGUGGCGAUGAGCCGUGACGGCAUGUGGGGGCCCUGACCUGCCACAUAGGUGAUUUGAGAGGGGAGGCUGCGGAUGGGGAGGUGAAGAGGGGGCUGUGAUCUCACCCAGACCCUGGGCUUCCUGCCCCACCUUUCGGCAGCAUGUCUCCCAGAUGCCUCUCUUCCUGAUCAACCCCGGGGGAUGGCAAGUGAAUUAGCAUCAAAGGCGCUGUGAUGAGAAGCCUCGCCCCACCCUUUUUUAAUAUCUGCGGAAUAAACGCAAUGGUUGAUUUUUGAACGAAUAAAAGGCUUUUGUUGAA